Long non-coding RNA from Felis catus (domestic cat), 5145 nucleotides. RefSeq lists it as uncharacterized. The transcript is spliced from 3 exons. Lineage: Eukaryota; Metazoa; Chordata; Mammalia; Carnivora; Felidae. The record is from RefSeq and is a predicted model, not a curated record.
UCUGUUGAGAAAAAAAAGUGAAGUUAAGGGAAACUUUUGCAGUUUAGAAGAAACAAAAGCACAGAUUUAGUUGAGUAAGUGGUAUAAAUGAUUUGCAUUCUAGAAUCAUUUUGAAUCCGUGCAUAUAUGAGUCUCCAAAGAGGAUGUAAACCAGUGAGCCCUGACCCCUUUUGAGUUAUAGAUCCUGUUGAGACUUCAAAGAACCCACAAACCUUCUCGAAAAAUGCCCCUGUGCCUGGAUGUAUGAAUCUUGCCAUGCAGGCUCAGAGUUCAUAGGUCAUAACAUUCAUGAUUUAAAGACAUUGUACAAGUUUUUCUUAUCAACUGUAGUUUCAAUAAAUUUUGUAGUUCACCAACCAUAUUUUUAGCAAGGUGAUCUCAUCCAGAAACACAUAGUUAAAAAUUAUACUUAUAAAUUUUAUUUAUAAACUAAUUUAUUGAAAUUUUACCAUCCAAAGACAUCCUCUCAUUUACAUCCUCCUCUUGCCUAGGGAAUUCGAAGUAUCUUAAAGCCCCAUAUCCUGAAACAGUAAAAUUCCAGCAGAAAAUCAAGGUCAACCACAAAACUCUCCGUGUCUGUAUCUGAGCUGCUCUGCAGACCAGGCAAAGGCAGAAUACUACACGUCUUCACUGGCAGAAUAAACAACACCAGUUCUUUGGAUAAAAGCUUUCCUUGGGCUCCACUAAAUAAUUUAAGAAUUAAAUCCUAAGUGAAAAUCAGACUGAGAAUGUAAACCUAUCUCCAGCUGGAAUGAGAGAGACAGACCAUUUCUCCCCAGGACACCGCAGCCACAGAACGUCCUGACAGACCCCGCUAAGGGACUACUGCUUUCUGCCUCACCAAGAAACCUUGUCCUCUGCAACCAGAGACUAUCAGAAAUUUGCUCUUAGUGGUUCUAUCAAUAAAAGUGAAACCUCUUACCUUUGCCUAGAGGAGCUAAGGCAAUCUAACACAAAGCAGCAGCCUCCAUUUCCAACCCAGGGGCAGGAUCUCAAGGGAUUUCUGAACACGAGGUUCAUCUUUAAGAAAACAGGCCCCUCGGUCCCCUUCUCAGUCCGGAGCUGACAAUGACCUGUUUAGAUGCAGCCCCGUUUCAUUUCAAUUGCCUGUAUCCCAUCCUGCCCCUAUGCCUGGGGAGGGAGGAGGGAGGACUCCUUUCCUCCGGUUGGUGAGGUGCCCACAGUUCCUCUGAUAAGUGGCCUCCCUCCCCGGUUAUGUGUUAAUACAUCUGUCAGACUACAGAUUCAUCCCUGGUGGCUGGGACGGGUGUUCUUUAUUAAAGAUCCCACAGGAAGAAGUGGACAGGGUCUGGACAUCUGUGGCAGGUUAACAGAUCUUUGUGACAUCUGUCACAUCGCCGCUUAACCGACAAUUCCACGUAGACGUCCUACUAACACCUCGGUCCCAGCCGCCGCUUCAAACGCGUCUGUCCUCUAACACUUCAGUGGAUGUGCCCGUACGCACCCCCACACUUCGAUCCCGCCCCCUCCUCGUCACUACAGCACAGGCCCUCCCUUCUAGCUCGGAUUGUCCCAACAGCUCCCGAACCGGGUUCUUGACCCUCUUGAUCCGUCUGUCAUGCUGCUGCCAGGCAUGAUCUCUCCCCAGCCCACAGCUGGUCCCAUCCCUUGCUGGAAGGUCUUUCCGGGUAUCCCUGCGCUUUAAGGUCCACAUCCAAACUCCUCAGCAAGACAGACAAAGCCAUUCGUGGCUUGGUCUCUGUCCUCCCUGAAUGUGCCACCAGUCCCUGAAAUGCUAGCCCAACAGAGCCCCUCCAGCUCCUAGAUGUGUUUCUUGCGCACUGUAGUUCCAGGCCUCUGUGUGCUCCACCCUCUGCCCGAACCGCUCUCUUCCCAGGCCUUCCCCUCCUCGGUUCACAGUCCAGGAUCCUCGACACGGCGCACGCGCUCUCUCUCUCCAAGCUAGUAAGCCAACGAGCAGUUACCGAGAAGGACCGUGUACGCGAAAUGCUAGCAUCCUCUAAGCCGCUACAUGAGAUACAGGACAGCAGUGCGAACAGCAACACUCUGGAAUUUCUACAACGUAUCAAAGGUUUAUACGAAAAAGACAGUAUCUGAAAUUGAUAAUGGGAUCGGGUCUCUCGGAUGAUGCCGGAAUGAUGGCUCUCAUCCCUGCUCCUUCCUCUGCUGAACCGACAGGAGACUUUACACAGGCCUGUGACACAAGUUAGGCUGACGAGCGCCAUUAAAAGCCACAAAGCAAGAGUGAAGAGUAAUUCGCUGUGGUGACAGCUAGCAUUUCAGCUGUUUGCCACGCUUCUUAGGUAACAAAGGUCCUUUUCCUACUUGACCUCAGCUGAUCUUGGACAAGUCACUUCACCUUUCUAAGCCUUAGGUCCUACCGUGUAAAACACACAAGUACUCACGAGACUGAAUGAAAAAUAAAGCUCAUAAAAAAAAUGUCUCACCCAGGAUGGACCCAAACGAUACUUGCAUUUCUGACCCCUCCCUGCCCAUGUACCCCCCGCCUUCUCACACACCGCUCCGGAAAACAUCUUUCCGUUUCUAGCCUUACUGGGGUAAGGCUGCAACAGCUGAUACCUGCGCAGAGCGCUCCGGUGAGGCGGGAGGUGGCUGAGGAGCAGCACCGCACUGCAGAAUCAGACCGUUUUAACCAGGCAAGUGGCCACCACGGUCAAAGGCUGCAGAAGUCAAUUCCAGUAUUUUGCUGCACUACCCACCGCCCUCCUGCAUUGGGGUUGGCUUUGCAGGCUACGCUCAUUCUCUCCACCAACACUCCCGUCCUAAUGCUCGGGGGGGGGGGCUCCAGCGUCACGGGAUCAGUCCUUCCAUGGCCCAGGCCUCCCGGCUCCUUGACCUCAUCUGUGACCUUGUCCCCCAACCUUCCUCCCAGGACCAAAGUGUAGGCCUCGGCCUUCCCAAUAAAUCCAGCUUGUCCGCAGUCCCAAUCCUGAGCAUCCUGCUCUCCAACCACCAGCUCUUCCCUUUCUCUGUGAGACCCAGACGCCAAUAACCCACCCGCCACCUUGUCACUGGCUCCCUCUCCUUUCCUCAUGCCGCCUCACUGCCAAACUCCAAGCUUUCCAAUGGCUUCUCGCAGCACUCAGAGUAAAUGCCACGGCCCCUGGCCUCCGGUCGCCUCUCCGACCCUGACUUCCGCUACUCCCUCCUUGCUGUUCCUUAAACAGCAGGGCCGUUGUGUUGUCCCGCUGCCCUCCUGAGGAUGCUCCUUCAGUACGCCCCGCAGUGAAGGCUGACGCCCUGCUCUCCGGGCCUGUGUCGAUGCAGGUGGCCAUCACCGAGGUGAGGGGCAUGGGAGGAGAGGCCUGCUGGGCACAGGAUGGGGAGGAGUUCAGUCCUGUGUACGCAGAGGGCAAGGUUGGUGCUUGUGAACAUCUAACUAGACCGCUCGACAGGUGCCUCUGGAGCUGGAGCUGCAGAUCGGGCACCAACUAAGACCAGCCUGCCCCGGGAGAGCGGGCACAGCCCUUAACACGCGUAGGCAGGCGUUGCAAAAGGCGUGGCUGCUACACACGCAGGGGAAACUAGAGCAGUGAACCCUAAAGGCGCCCAGGGAUAAGGGGCUCUUGCGUUUCAACGGACUGGAAACUUAGGACUGAGGUUCAAGAACAGCAGGAGGCUCGUGCAGGCUACUUUCAGGCAUCUCGGUGUCGCGGGGCAAGCACAAGCGGCAGCGUGUGGAGAAGGGGAAAGCGUGGGGUCCGGACUCAGACUCCUGGGCUCAAAUCCAGGCUCCGCACUUACAGGUGAUUUCCUUUCAAUGUGCCCGGGGUCCCUGUCUGCAAAACUAGGUGGCAGCUGCUAGGAGGAACACAUCUGAAAUGCUCAGAGCCCUUCCUCAGUAAAUAAGAGGCGUGACAGGGACACAGGAACCUGGGGAGAGGGCUGGCCCUCGGGCUGCAACAUUCAGCCAGUGUCAGAAUGGAAGGGACACAGAAUGAAGAAGCAACUGGCUGGCAGUAAAAACAAACAAAACCCUUUAUGAUGCAGAGAACAGAAGGUGCCCUGAAGGUAGGGGAGGGAGAGGGUCUGCCAAACCCUGGGUUGAAGAGAAAGCAGAGGGUUUCCAUGGAGAAAGGAUAAAAAUAGGACUGAAGUGCAACUUUGCCAGGGGCUAAGACCGUGAUUCCCAAGGGUGGUUACUGUCAGAAUCACCUGUAGAACCACAGCCAGUUUGAAAAGCUCGGGUUCUAUUUCCAGACAUUGAGCAAAUCGGAGGUGGGGUCUGGGACAUGGCUGUUCAGCAAACGUCCACAUGAUUAAGACGUAAUCUGAGUGGAAAAUCAGGGCAACACUUGUCAAAAGACCGGUCUAGUGACAAAAUUCUCCUGAGAAAAUGCGGGGGUGCGGCGAGAACGGCACCAACACCCCAGCUGUGACCCGCCUGGGUGGGGGGAGGGCUAGUCCUGCCCUGUUCUCAGCAACCCCUUGUGACCACGGGGCGGAGGGCCCAGUGGGAAGGGGGCAGCACAGGCAGGAAAGGGAUCAGGGCCUUCCAGGAAUCGGGUUUGAUCAGCCCAAAUUCCACCUGCUAGUUAAACCAGGGAGUUCACAGUGCAUCCGGCUAGUGGGCAAACCAGGGAGGUAUAACAUUUUUUUUUUUUUUUUUUGCCUAAAUCAUGAUGCAAUCUGAUCACCAAGCCCCACGUUUAUCAGGUUUCUGUUUCUGUGUCAAGUUAGACAUCAACUCUCCAUGGGAAUCCCAUGAGGUACAUGGCAUGAUGCUGAUCUGACGAGGAGCUCAUCUAAAGCAGGUUCUGGGACUGCCUCACUCCCUGCCCAGCCCUCCGGAUGAUCUGUUCGCACGCUACCUAGCACACUCGGCAGCAGCACGAUGGGAGUGAAAAAGCACGGACAAAUUCAGGUUCAAAUCUGCCAUGGGCCAGCGGGGCCUGACUUCGAACUGCAGUUCUGCCACUGACGGACCAAUAGAUGAUCUUUAAAGUGUCAGGUAACAUCUCCCAAAUGCCUCCCUGAUGUAAAGUGCACAAAACACGCCUGGAUUACCAGAGGUCUCUCUGCUGCUCACAGAAACUAGAUGUGACACGCCUCUGACAAGGCUUCAUUUCGUCAUCGACCACUCACCCUGUAAGCUCUAUGCAUUUUAACAGCGGAGGGAAACGCAUCCGAGUGUGCCUUACC